CCAAUAGCGUAUAUUAAAGUUGUUGCAGUUAAAAAGCUCGUAGUUGAAUUUCGGGAUCAAAUUGUUGGUCGUGCCUCGGUACGCACUGGUAUUAUUGGUUCCUACCUUCUGAAGAACCGCGAUGUCAUUAAUUUGGUGUCGUGGGGAAUCAGGACUGUUACUUUGAAAAAAUUAGAGUGUUUAAAGCAGGCUUACGCUUGAAUACAUUAGCAUGGAAUAAUGAAAUAGGACGUUUGAUUCUAUUUUGUUGGUUUCUAGGAUUGACGUAAUGAUUAAUAGGGAUAGUUGGGGGAAUUAGUAUUCAAUUGUCAGAGGUGAAAUUCUUGGAUUUAUUGAAGACUAACUACUGCGAAAGCAUUUGCCAAGGAUGUUUUCAUUAAUCAAGAACGAAAGUUAGGGGAUCGAAGACGAUCAGAUACCGUCGUAGUCUUAACCAUAAACUAUGCCGACUAGGGAUCGGAUGAUGUUAAUUUUUUAAUGACUCAUUCGGCGCCUUACG
This 499-nucleotide unclassified non-coding RNA is filed under the name uncultured Glomeromycotina. Its description in RNAcentral is "SSU rRNA". It matches the Rfam family "Eukaryotic small subunit ribosomal RNA", at positions 591 to 1092 of the family's 1831-position model. Lineage: Eukaryota; Fungi; Glomeromycota. The record is from RNAcentral.